RNAcentral lists this ribosomal RNA (711 nucleotides) under uncultured bacterium. RNAcentral's name for it is "bacterial SSU rRNA". It matches the Rfam family "Bacterial small subunit ribosomal RNA", at positions 79 to 811 of the family's 1533-position model. The record is from RNAcentral.
GCAAUGGGUGAGUAAAGUGGCGUACGGGUGAGUAACACGUGGGUGAUCUACUCUUUGGUGGGGAAUAACCCUGGGAAACCGGGGCUAAUACCGCAUAAGCCUCUAUUUUCAAAGUGGAGGGAAAGGUGCAAAUCGCCGAAGAAGGAGCCCGCGGCUGAUUAGCUAGUUGGUGGGGUAAAGGCUCACCAAGGCGAAGAUCGGUAGCCGGCCUGAGAGGGCACACGGCCACACUGGCACUGAAACACGGGCCAGACUCCUACGGGAGGCAGCAGUGGGGAAUCUUGCACAAUGGGGGCAACCCUGAUGCAGCGACGCCGCGUGAGCGAUGAAGCCCUUCGGGGUGUAAAGCUCUUUCGGCAGGAACGAUAAUGACGGUACCUGAAGAAGAAGCUGCGGCUAACUACGUGCCAGCAGCCGCGGUAAUACGUAGGCAGCGAGCGUUGUUCGGAGUUACUGGGCGUAAAGCGUGCGUAGGCGGUCUUGUAAGUCUGGUGUGAAAUCUCCCGGCUCAACUGGGAGGGUGCGCCGGAAACUGCAAGGCUGGAGUAUGGGAGAGGUAGGCGGAAUUCCUGGUGUAGCGGUGAAAUGCGUAGAUAUCANGAGGAACACCUGAGGUGAAGACGGGUUGCUGGGCCAACACUGACGCUGAGGCGCGAAAGCCAGGGGAGCAAACGGGAUUAGAUACCCCGGUAGUCCUGGCCCUAAACGAUG